This 394-nucleotide long non-coding RNA is filed under the name Setaria viridis. RNAcentral describes it as "long non-coding RNA (SVIR_LNC000879)". Lineage: Eukaryota; Viridiplantae; Streptophyta; Magnoliopsida; Poales; Poaceae. The record is from RNAcentral.
GCAAUGAUGCGUCUUCUCCAUAAUUCUUGCUUUAGCCAAGGUGCCGGGAUCAGAGGAGGCUCUUGGGCUUUGUGUUGACGAUCUGAGCAGUUUUCUUCCUUGGUUGCAUUACUCAAUUAGAAGCUCUUGAGCAUCCCAUUGAAGAAGAUUGAUAGUGUCAUGGUGCUUCUAAUCUUGUUGCCUCCAGUCCUUAUCACCUCUAGAUCAUCUCCUUCUAUGCAGAGAGGUUCUCCAAUCUUCCCUCUUUUCUUGACAUGGUUGCUUCCAAGACCUGUUGCUUGAACAAACAAAUGUCCAAGAAACAUUAAUCUUAAAAAUAAUUGACACAGUGGCAUACCUCAUUUAUCAUCUUAAAUUCUCAACAAAUUCUUGCACUAGACUCUCCCAAUUCUCG